RNAcentral lists this ribosomal RNA (484 nucleotides) under uncultured bacterium. Its description in RNAcentral is "partial 16S ribosomal RNA". It matches the Rfam family "Bacterial small subunit ribosomal RNA", at positions 29 to 507 of the family's 1533-position model. The record is from RNAcentral.
AUGAACGCUGGCGGCGUGCUUAACACAUGCAAGUCGAACGGGAUCCAAGGGGUGCUUGCACUUUUUGGUGAGAGUGGCGAACGGGUGAGUAACACGUGAGUAACCUGUCCUUUUCUUUGGGAUAAGCAUUCGAAAGGGUGUUUAAUACCUUAUGUUCUGUCUGCCUCGCAUGGGGUGGGUGGGAAAGGCUUUGGCCGGAUUUGGGUGGGCUCGCGGUCUAUCAGCUUGUUGGUGGGGUGAUGGCUUACCAAGGCUUUGACGGGUAGCCGGCCUGAGAGGGUGGCCGGUCACAUUGGGACUGAGAUACGGCCCAGACUCCUGCGGGAGGCAGCAGUGGGGGAUAUUGCACAAUGGGCGAAAGCCUGAUGCAGCGACGCCGCGUGGGGGAUGAAGGCCUUCGGGUUGUAAACUUCUUUUGCUCUGAACAAGGCAUGCCAGUGGGUGUGUUGAGUGUAGGGGUUGAUUAGCGCCGGCUAACUACGUG